This 517-nucleotide ribosomal RNA is filed under the name uncultured bacterium. RNAcentral's name for it is "bacterial SSU rRNA". It matches the Rfam family "Bacterial small subunit ribosomal RNA", at positions 29 to 518 of the family's 1533-position model. The record is from RNAcentral.
ACGAACGCUGGCGGCGUGCCUAAUACAUGCAAGUCGAACGGUCUUUCUAUGGAAGCUUGCUUCCACUGAGAAGAUAGUGGCGAACGGGUGAGUAACACGUGGGUAACCUGCCCAUAAGAGGGGGAUAACAUCCGGAAACGGGUGCUAAUACCGCAUAGUUUUCUUGAUUGCAUGAUUGAGAAAGGAAAGACGGCCUUUGUGCUGUCGCUUAUGGAUGGACCCGCGGCGUAUUAGUUAGUUGGUGAGGUAACGGCUCACCAAGACGAUGAUACGUAGCCGACCUGAGAGGGUGAUCGGCCACAUUGGGACUGAGACACGGCCCAAACUCCUACGGGAGGCAGCAGUAGGGAAUCUUCCGCAAUGGACGAAAGUCUGACGGAGCAACGCCGCGUGAGUGAAGAAGGUUUUUUCGGAUCGUAAAACUCUGUUGUCAGAGAAGAACAAGUUGGAGAGUAACUGCUCCAGCCUUGACGGUAUCUGACCAGAAAGCCACGGCUAACUACGUGCCAGCAGCAGC